This 379-nucleotide long non-coding RNA is filed under the name Gallus gallus (chicken). The record is from RNAcentral. Lineage: Eukaryota; Metazoa; Chordata; Aves; Galliformes; Phasianidae.
GAGAACUGCACACACCAGAUUCCACGCUUAUGUCCAGUGAAGACACCCAGCAAAGAGCAAUCAGGACAGGACCACAGCUUGGCCAGCCGAUCCUGCGAGCCCGUGGCAAUGAGCUUGUCAUUUGGAGACACUGCCACACUGUUUAUGUCCUUGUCAUGACCUCUCUCAGUCAUUUGUGCAUGAAGGGUUUCUGGACCGGAGAUCAAGGCUGCUUUUGCUUUGGAAGUGAGAGAUUCUGGGAUAUUCCACACUUUUAUUGUGCAGUCCUGGCUGCUGGUCACUACAAAGCUUUCUUUCAACCUUGAGCAAGAGACAGCGCCUACCCCAUGAGCAUGACCCAAUCCUUGGGCCACACACACCACCCUUCCAUCUUUAUUCA